RNAcentral lists this ribosomal RNA (332 nucleotides) under uncultured bacterium. RNAcentral's name for it is "bacterial SSU rRNA". It matches the Rfam family "Bacterial small subunit ribosomal RNA", at positions 468 to 793 of the family's 1533-position model. The record is from RNAcentral.
UUUGACGUUACCUACAGAAGAAGCACCGGCUAACUCCGUGCCAGCAGCCGCGGUAAUACGGAGGGGUGCGAGCGUUAAUCGGAAUUACUGGGCGUAAAGACGCAUGCAGGCGGCCUGUUAAGUCAGAUGUGAAAGCCCGGGGCUUAACCUCGGAAUUGCAUUUGAAACUAGGCAGGCUAGAGUCUUGUAGAGGGGGGUAGGAAGUUUCAGGUGUAGCGGUGAAAUGCGUAGAGAUCUGAAGGAAUACCAGUGGCGAAGGCGGCCCCCUCGGACAAAGACUGACGCUCAGAUGCGAAAGCGUGGGGAGCAAACAGGAUUAGAUACCCUGGUAG